GAUGAACGCUGGCGGCGUGCCUAAUACAUGCAAGUCGAGCGAACGGACGAGAAGCUUGCUUCUCUGAUGUUAGCGGCGGACGGGUGAGUAACACGUGGAUAACCUACCUAUAAGACUGGGAUAACUUCGGGAAACCGGAGCUAAUACCGGAUAAUAUUUUGAACCGCAUGGUUCAAAAGUGAAAGACGGUCUUGCUGUCACUUAUAGAUGGAUCCGCGCUGCAUUAGCUAGUUGGUAAGGUAACGGCUUACCAAGGCAACGAUGCAUAGCCGACCUGAGAGGGUGAUCGGCCACACUGGAACUGAGACACGGUCCAGACUCCUACGGGAGGCAGCAGUAGGGAAUCUUCCGCAAUGGGCGGAAGCCUGACGGAGCAACGCCGCGUGAGUGAUGAAGGUCUUCGGAUCGUAAAACUCUGUUAUUAGGGAAGAACAUAUGUGUAAGUAACUGUGCACAUCUUGACGGUACCUAAUCAGAAGGCCACGGCUAACUACGUG
RNAcentral lists this ribosomal RNA (497 nucleotides) under uncultured bacterium. RNAcentral describes it as "partial 16S ribosomal RNA". It matches the Rfam family "Bacterial small subunit ribosomal RNA", at positions 28 to 507 of the family's 1533-position model. The record is from RNAcentral.